Long non-coding RNA from Chelonia mydas (Green sea turtle), 1566 nucleotides. RefSeq lists it as uncharacterized. NCBI's taxonomy places the organism in Eukaryota, Metazoa, Chordata, Testudines, Cheloniidae. The transcript is spliced from 3 exons. The record is from RefSeq and is a predicted model, not a curated record.
AGCUUGCUGUGGGAAAGAACUAGAGGGUGAGAGGAGAAGAGUACAGUACAAUCUAAUCUAAUCUAUAGCAGCUGUAGAGAAAAGCUCAGAGCAGGAAAGGCAACUGCUGGGAAGAAAGUAAAUAAGAAAAGCUCUUCAGGUAGGAAGGCCUGAGAGAGAGCCUGAUAAAGCAAAGAAGAGACUGGGAGACCCAGAGGGGAAGUAAAGAGCAAGGCCUUGUAUUGCUUAUCCCUUGAAAAAUGUGACUUCUGUAGAAUUGUGGCAAAGUAUGGACUGUCCUUGUGAUGGAUAAGCUUUACAUCAAGAAUGGACACAAGAGAAGUGCCCCAAAGAGGAAGUCUGGGAAUCCUGGCCUGAGGUGACAUGAGAGAGCUCCAGGCACACACUAAUCAAGACUGUAUGCAGCAGCUGCUGCAGGUAGCUAGACUCUGAAGAAAUGGCCCUCCUGCAAUUAAGAAAUCCUUGUUUUCUGAGAGACACGUGACUACCCUAACAGAACUGUGCCCACUGGGUAGCAGAAUGCAGCUGUGUGGAGUGGGUUAAAAUUCUUGUCAGACUUCAUGACCUCUUGGGAGCCUUUACUAAUGCAUCUGAAAGGAAGUUAUUCAAAAGUGAAUGAAAGAACCUGGGGGAUUGGUGAAUGGCUAAUAUUUAUAUAGUGCUUUUCAUCCAAAGGUCCCAGAGUGCUCAGCAAAUUCACAAACUGCAUGUGUACACGGAGCUCACCUCAGCCCACGUGCUGUGGGGUAGAUCGUGGCAAACUUUAAAGAGUGCACAGUAACAUUUUCUAUCUAGUUUAUUUAUAAAAGGUAGCUAGCUACCUGAUGGACAAAGCCUGGGUUGCUAUGGCCUUAGCAUUGUUGCAGAGAACAAUUUUCCUGAAGGGGGGAAUCUGAGGUAGUUAUAGUGAAAUCCAUUAUGGCUUUAUACAUUGUGUUCAGGACGUCAGCUGUACCAGUGUAAAUUAGACUGCCCUAAGACUGCUCUAACUUAAAUGUGGCUGCCAGCAAUAACCCUGAGGAGCUGUUCUGGAAGCCAAAAAUAGCCAGACUGCAGCAGUGCCAGAGCUUUUAAACCAUUCAAAAAUCUGCUAGAAUUAUUCUCCAGGGUCUGUAUCUCCUAACUCUUUGCUCCCACUACAUCAUUGGAGCGGCAUAAAGGGGCUGUAACACAAUGUAUAGUUAGGCCCUGUGUGUCUGUCUGAACUGUAUUAAGUUAGAAGGAAAGGUCCAAGGAGCAGGGACUGAGGUGCCAUCUAUAUUUUGUACAGUACAUUGGUGGAUGUGUACACCCACACAAAAUAGUAUCACUCUCAAAGGUACUAAGCGUACAGAGAGAGUGACUAAAACCUUUUUACAGGUACCUAUGAACAAAGACGUGUCUAGAAGAUGGUAGGCUCAUGGAGAGAAAUAAAUUGUACCACUCUGGUCCUGUUGGGUGAUUAGGCUAAUAGAGAAACUUCUCAAGUGUAGUUCAACAGGAAGUGAAAAUACUUAUGAGAUAAACAAUGCAAUAGUGAAAUCAACCAUAACUGCAAACGCAACCAAAGACUAAACUAAAUAAUGU